Molecule: ribosomal RNA, 575 nt
Filed under: uncultured haloarchaeon
Lineage: Archaea; Methanobacteriati; Methanobacteriota; Halobacteria; Halobacteriales; Halobacteriaceae
Description: bacterial SSU rRNA
Rfam family: Archaeal small subunit ribosomal RNA
Source: RNAcentral
CGCGAAACCUUUACACUGCACGAGAGUGCGAUAAGGGGACUCCCAGUGCGAGGGCAUACAGUCCUCGCUUUUCUGGACCGUAGGGAGGUCCAGGAGCAAGUGCUGGGCAAGACCGGUGCCAGCCGCCGCGGUAAUACCGGCAGCACGAGUGAUGGCCGAUAUUAUUGGGCCUAAAGCGUCCGUAGCCGGCCAGACAAGUCCGUUGGGAAAUCCACGUGCUCAACACGUGGGCGUCCAGCGGAAACUGUCUGGCUUGGGGCCGGAAGACCCAAGGGGUACGUCCGGGGUAGGAGUGAAAUCCCGUAAUCCUGGACGGACCGCCGAUGGCGAAAGCACCUUGGGAGGACGGACCCGACGGUGAGGGACGAAAGCCAGGGUCUCGAACCGGAUUAGAUACCCGGGUAGUCCUGGCCGUAAACGAUGUCCGCUAGGUGUGGCGCAGGCUACGAGCCUGCGCUGUGCCGUAGGGAAGCCGUGAAGCGGACCGCCUGGGAAGUACGUCUGCAAAGAUGAAACUUAAAGGAAUUGGCGGGGGAGCACUACAACCGGAGGAGCCUGCGGUUUAAUUGGAAUCA